ACACGCGGCGAACAGUCGGUGCGUGCCCUCUUUUAAACGACGAUAUGUAGCGCGGCGUCACGAAAAAUCGCGUGGUUCUCGUGCACUGGUGUCGGCCAAGAUCAUUGUCACGAUCGAGAUCGAGACACGUGCUUACCCUCGUUAGCACGGAUCGUUGCGAUUCGCGGCUCAGCUUUCCCUUAUUUCUCCCUUUUAACUCGAAGCACACCUUCGAGUUCGACUACGCUCGAUCCGAGUGAACCGAACCCGAAUUAUUUUUUCCCGCGAGUUUCGGUGACGCAUUGAUUUGUGACUGGACCACCAUUCGACCGAAGAGAUCGAGAAAAUGACGGUAAUGGUGGAGUCAGUAAAAGCGGAGGAGGGCGAACGUCCGAGGAUCAGCAAUUUCGACGACAUCCUGCCGUACGUCGGAGAGGCCAGUCGUUACCAAUGGUUCCUCUUCGUUUUGCUUCUACCCUUCACCUUCGUCUACGCGUUCCUCUACUUCACGCAGUUCUUCAUCACCUUGGUGCCGGCUGAGCACUGGUGUACAGUACCAGAACUCGAAGGAUGGAACCUCACCGACCACGAGAAAAUCUCCCUGUCGAUUCCUCCAGCAAGCAUCGAUGAAUUAAAGGUGGAAGGUGCAACUGCAUUUUCACGAUGCAACAUGUACGACGUGAAUUACGAAGAGAUGCUGGACCAAGGUAUUAGAAAAGGAAAUAUAUCUUGGCCUGUUAAACCGUGUAAAUAUGGGUGGAGCUUUAAUCACACGAUGAUACCUUACAAGUCUAUAGCCGUCGAGUUGGAAUGGGUCUGCGACCAUGCUUUCCUAGGUUCAGCAGCGCAGUCAGCCUUCUUCCUCGGCAGUAUCCUCGGCGGUUUAAUAUUCGGUUACAUAGCCGACCAUUAUGGCAGGAUUCCAGCUCUGGUCGCUUGCAACUCGGUUGGCUUCAUCGCGUCCGUCGCCACCGCGUUUUGCAACAGUUUCUGGAGCUUCUGCUUCGCGAGAUUAGUCGUCGGCACUUCGUUCGACAAUUGUUUUAAUGUCCUUUUCAUUAUCGUGAUAGAAUAUGUCGGUCCGAAAUACCGAACACUGGUGGCGAACAUGUCCUUCGGUCUUUAUUUCGCUGCAGCCGCCAGUCUUUUGCCAUGGAUCGCAUACUGGAUCGCGGAUUGGAGAAUUUUGAGUAUGGCCACCGCGUGUCCCAUGGUGGUCGCUUUCAUAGGACCAUGGAUCGUUCCUGAAAGCGCACGUUGGUACAUCACCAGCGGCAAAGUCGACAAAGCGAUCGACAUGUUGAAGAAAUUCGCCAAAGUAAAUGGCAAGGAAGUGAAACAGGAGAUAUUCGACGAGUUCGAGAAAAGCUGUAAAUCAAUGAUCGAGAAAGAUCAAUCGCAUAAUCAGUACACCGUGCUGCAUCUAUUCAAAAAGCCACGACUCGCGCGUAUCACCAUCAUGCUCAUCCUCUACUGGCUCCUGAUGGUGUGGGUGUUCGACGGCCACGUUUGGAACAUGAAACUUCUGGAUCCUGACGUUUUUACAUCCUUCUCCUUGGCCUCGCUCACCGAACUUCCGGCCGCGGUUCUACUCGCACUCUUCCUGGACAGAUGGGGCAGACGAUGGAUGGGUUUCGCGUCCAUGUUCCUCUGCGGAAUUUUCUCCUGGAUUGCCCUGGCCACUCCUAAUGGUCCACCUACGGUAGCUAUGGCGAUCGUAGCACGUCUCGGUGUGAAUAUCGCGGCGAAUAUCGGUUUCCAAUACGCGGCCGAAAUGCUUCCCACCGUAGUGAGAGCCCAGGGUGUCUCUUUGAUCCACAUCAUCGGUUACGUGGCUCAUAUCUUGGGACCCUACAUCAUUUACCUGGCUGAUAUUGAUGCCUCUCUGCCUCUUAUCGCCCUCGGUUUGCUGUCCUUUGUGCACGCCUUCUUGACCUUAGGUUUGCCAGAAACCUUGAAUCAAGAUUUGCCAGAGACCCUUCAGGAAGGUAACGACUUUGGUAGAGAGCAAAGUUGCUGGUGGGUCCCUUGCGUAUCCUCGAGUCACCAGCUAAAGAAGAAAUACAGAAAGAAACAAGGCCUCUCGAAUCCCGCGUUCGCUGAUAGUGUUCAAAAGAUCGACUGCACUAGAUUAUAGCGGCUGCUGUUCAAACUUGCCAAAUCCUUUGUAAAUAUAGUCGUUAAAUGUGUGUGCGUGUGUGACGAUGUUGCGGGAACGUGUAUGAGAGAUGCAGGAGGAUGUCGUGAGACGAUACAAGAAGCAUUCCAUAGCAUCAGCUCGGCGAUACUGAACAAACAAGUCAUCGCCAGGGUUAGAAAUCCGCAUAAUCUACGACCCCAUCGAUCCAGCACCAAAGUCAGCAGCAAUCCUGCCGGAAGUUCCGUGGAGCACGCAACGGAGAAGGACAUGAACACCGAGCUUUGGAUCAGCUUCAAGGAAUACACGUGACCAUCGAAGGCGAUCACGACUGUGGAUGUCCCAAAAUUAACCACAGAAGAUACUAACUGUUGGAAACCGCGCAAGCCCAAAUGCUGAAGAUUCCGGAAAUGACGAGAGAUCCGCAUGCGAGCCAUCUUCUACCCCAUCGAUCAAGGACAGCCGUGAGGAAGGUGUCAGCAGGUAGCUCGGUUGCUGCGGCGAUCGUAAAAGUCACGAACAUGUUCAAGCCUAAAUUAUCGACGUUUCGUACAUGACCAUCGAACACCAGAGAGACCGCCAUCCUGGAUAGAAAAAGAAAUUUCAUAUGAUUAAAAGUCACGAUUCCUGGAAAAAAUGAGCAGUGUUGCUUGAUAUGAAAAACAAAUUCCAUUCUCUAAUUAGAUACGCGAAGAAAUUUUUAAACAAACAAUUUUCAGUGAUAUGAUAUGGAAAAAAUUCAUUUUUUAAAUAAGAGAGAAUCUUCAAAAAAAAAUUGUCCUGACAAAUAACUAAAAAGAAAAAAAAAGGAAAUGCUAUCAUGAAAGUUAUACCAUAAUUCACUUAUAAAUAACAAAACAAUGCGUACCAUAUGACAAUAAACAAAAUAGUGAUUUUUCUUAGCCGUGGAGUCCUAAAUAAAUCCAACACAGAAUACGUUUUGUCAGCUUCCUCCUCUUUACAUAUCCUCUCGCAGGUUUCCUGUUUCAAAGGACCAUUUUGAUUAAUUAUAAAAGCAAAUACCGUUGUACAAUUCUAUAAUAAUUGAAUGGAAAGUUUUUUUACCCGGAAUCGUUUGUAGAUAUCAUCAGGCACCUUGGUGCCAUUCAUAUACUCGAAUUUGUGCAGGAUCUUGAUGGCCCUGUCCACUUGUCCUUGGCUCACCAACCAUCGAGCACUUUCCGGGAUCAAGAACGGUGCCGCCAUUGCCAAAAUCAGAGGAACAGACGUGGCUAUACAUGUCAUUCUCCAAUCGGCCAAAUAAUAGGCGAUCCAAGGUAGAACACAAGCGGCGAAAGUGAAGAAUAUGGCUAUGGACAUGUUCGCUACGAACGUUCGCCAUUUCGGUCCAACGUACUCCAAUACUGAAAUACAAUCAUCAAAAAUUAAUUAAAAAGGUCAUAAUCCAGCAUCCAAUUUCGCGACGAUGCGUUUCGCUAAGAAGCUCCUAAUUAUGGAAACCCCGUCUGGACGCGAAAAACAAUUCCACGUUAACGACAGCGUCGCGAUGCAUUUACAAAAGAAUUAACGAACCCGUGACAAGAGUGCGCCGUUUAAACAAACACCGCGUUUCAAAUAAUUUCCAUGAUGCAAUUCAGCCGCGAUUUCACGGAGGGAAAAGAAACGAGGAAACGCGAUAGACGCUUGUCGAUACAAUUCUUGCCCGAUUCUUUGCGCAUCGUUUAUAUUUUUACAUUCUUCAGGUAUUUAUCAACCUGUUACCGUAACAGUUGCGUUGUUUGAAUAACAUUCGAAGGCUGUUUACCCGCGAUUCCUGUAACCCCAAUCUAAGCGCAAUCCAGUUACGCCUUUCGUCAUCGAUUGCUUAGCACGCUUUACGAACGGUCUGCGCCUUUUUACCAAUAUUUACCGGCUAAGAAUCAGGCACAAUCAGUCGAACGAAUCGAUCGGAAAUGUCGUUGAAAUCGAAGAACGGUUUUACGUUGAGAAACCAUUCGCCGAGAGAAUGUCCGAUAGGAGAGUUCUGUUUCACCGUGACUUCGAAUAUCUCGUUACACUUUGUAAUGGACUGUGAUAAAGUCUUCUUAAAAAGAAGGCUUAAAUAAUUGUAGUUAAACAUUUCAUUGUAAUCGGAUGAAGAAGAAGAUAUUAUUAAUCCAGUGGAUUAUAAAUAGUUACUCGUUAUCUACUUUGCAUUACAAAAUAGAGAUUCUUUUUUAUUAAUGAAUCCAAUUGCAUUUUUCAUCGCGAUCGAUUAUUUCUGCCUUACUUAUUUUCUUUCCUCAAUAAAAUUCAAGCAAUAGUUGGAGGCUUAAAUUACAGAUAAUUAUGCUACUUUCGACAAAUUUAUUGCAACUGUUAGUGCGUUCAUACCUUUUCCAUGUUCACGUCAAAUGGUCAACUAUGAGUCAUUUUGGCAUUUUAAGAAUUGAACAUUGUUUUAUGUUAUAGAUUUUUAAAUUCGACGAUAAGUAUGACCUUCCCUGUACAAAAAGCUCGCAAAUCUAACCCUGUCGCUAGACACUUUUACAGACAUAAAGAAAUAGAUAGAUAACUACAAAUGUUAUAAAUCUCAUUAAACAGAGUUAUCAAAGAGUUAAUCUAUUGUCAACGGGAGAACAGACUUGUAAACAGAUAAAAUCCUCUCACUUGUAUCUCUAAAAUCCUUAUCAAAUACAGGGAGGUGUGAUCCAUCGGUGGGUCAUUGAGUCUUAAGUACUAUUAUCUUGCUCCCCUAUCAUGCCAUCACGGAUUUUCUAAAGGAACUGAGUCUGAUUCGAAAUUUUCCUUUGAUGUACAAUUACAUUCAGUAUCAGACGUGUAUCUCCUCAUUCAUGAGUCGAUCAUUCAUCGGAUAACGUGCCGGGGAAGCUUCUAAGACGGUAGCAAUCGAUAAUUACACCAGAAGAAACACCUCGCCGUUCCGAUUCCACGAACAUCGUGGAAAAUGAUGAUUCAUUCGGAUAUACAUCUGCGUGAGGUCCUCCAGUUCCGGCACCCAGCACCAGUACUCUUCCGGCGUCAGUGUGAUGAAUAUCUGGGAAAAGUACACCCACGCGACGAACGAGGCGAACGGUAUCAUCAAGAUAAACAGAAUCUUCUGAUAGAGUCCAAAUUCACCAACAUAAGGUUGCACGGGACAAGGUGGACUAAAACUCGGUGCUCCUCUCGCUUCUGGAUGACUAUAAACGGUAGGUUGCUGUGGUGGUGGUAAUAUCGGAGACGGAAGAUAAUUUUCCACGUAGGUCAUAUUUUCCGUACCAUUGCAACGAUUAUUCGGGGGAUUAGAAUUUCCGUUAUUACACGUGUGCUGGUUUGCUUGAUGCACGUGCGGAUUACACGACGAUGUGCUACUGAACAAGUAAAUUAUGACAUUACAUAAAAUUAUACAGAUUUAAUAUGAUACUAACGUGUGAUGCGACGAAAAUCUUGGAUAUUGACAUCUCCUAUGUACUUCUUGUACACGCUGCUGUAUCCUCCAUAAUCUUUCUUGUACAGGAUGCAUACGCGGUCUUAUUUGUAAAAUAUCU
Molecule: non-coding RNA, 5607 nt
Organism: Osmia lignaria (orchard mason bee)
Lineage: Eukaryota; Metazoa; Arthropoda; Insecta; Hymenoptera; Megachilidae
Source: RefSeq, a predicted model, not a curated record